RNAcentral lists this microRNA precursor (103 nucleotides) under Marmota monax (woodchuck). The record is from RNAcentral. Lineage: Eukaryota; Metazoa; Chordata; Mammalia; Rodentia; Sciuridae.
AGAGGGAUAGCUGGGUCAAAUGGUGGUUCCAUUCCAAGUUUUCCAAGGAAUCUCCAUAUUGCUUUCCAUAUUGGUUGCACCAAUUUGCAAUCCUACCAGCAAU